AUGUGCAUCUUUGGGUCCUACGAGAAUCUUCUCUCUGCUGUCAAGCACAAUUUCUACAUUCUCACGUCCAACCUUGAGAGGGUGAUCAAGCCCAAUGUCGCAGUCCUGCGAGAGUUUGGGCUUGGUCCUUGUGAUACUGCCAGGUUGUGCGUCGCUCAGCCAUGGCUGCUCACCACCAGGGCAGAGCGUGUCCGGGCGACAGGGGUGUGCGUCGAAGGUCUGGGUAUACCCUGA
Molecule: ribosomal RNA, 234 nt
Filed under: Triticum aestivum (bread wheat)
Lineage: Eukaryota; Viridiplantae; Streptophyta; Magnoliopsida; Poales; Poaceae
Description: partial small subunit ribosomal RNA
Source: RNAcentral